This 440-nucleotide ribosomal RNA is filed under the name uncultured bacterium. Its description in RNAcentral is "partial 16S ribosomal RNA". It matches the Rfam family "Bacterial small subunit ribosomal RNA", at positions 338 to 795 of the family's 1533-position model. The record is from RNAcentral.
CCUACGGGAGGCAGCAGUGGGGAAUAUUGCACAAUGGGGGAAACCCUGAUGCAGCGACGCCGCGUGAGUGAAGAAGUUAUUCGUUAUGUAAAGCUCUAUCAGCAGGGAAGAAAAUGACGGUACCUGAGUACGAAGCCGCGGCUCACUACGUGCCAGCAGCCGCAGUAACACGUAGGGGGCAAGCGUUAUCCGGAUUUACUGGGUGUAAAGGGAGCGUAGACGGCAGUGCAAGUCUGGAGUGAAAGGCGGGGGCUCAACCCCCGGACUGCUGUGGAAACUGUACGGCUGGAGUGCAGGAGAGGUAAGUGGAAUUCCUAGUGUAGCGGUGAAAUGCGUAGAUAUUGGGAAGAACACCAGUGGCGAAGGCGGCUUACUGGACUGUAACUGACGUUGAGGCUCGAAAGCGUGGGGAGCAAACAGGAUUAGAUACCCGGGUAGUC